GGGUACGAAGUGCGAGCUGGGGGGGAAAGAGGUGGGGGGCAAGGGUGGUCCGGAAUGACUGGGCGGAAAGCGCGGGCAGGCGGCUAUCGAGGGCCGGGGUGAAAGCCCAGAGCGCAACUCUGGGACGGCCGUGGAGACGGGAUGGCUGGAGGAUCGGAGAGGCAAGGGGAAUUCCACGUGUAGCGGUGAAAUGCGUAGAGAUGUGGAGGAACACCGGUGGCGAAGGCGCCUGGCUGGCCGAUUUCUGACGCUGAGGCGCGAAAGCGUGGGGAGCAAACAGGAUUAGAUACCCGAGUAGUC
This 300-nucleotide ribosomal RNA is filed under the name uncultured Archaeoglobus sp. Its description in RNAcentral is "bacterial SSU rRNA". The stretch from base 52 to 300 matches the Rfam family "Bacterial small subunit ribosomal RNA", at positions 547 to 795 of the family's 1533-position model. The record is from RNAcentral. Lineage: Archaea; Methanobacteriati; Methanobacteriota; Archaeoglobi; Archaeoglobales; Archaeoglobaceae.